Ornithodoros turicata is the source of this 303-nucleotide long non-coding RNA. RefSeq lists it as uncharacterized. The record is from RefSeq and is a predicted model, not a curated record. The transcript has 6 exons. NCBI's taxonomy places the organism in Eukaryota, Metazoa, Arthropoda, Arachnida, Ixodida, Argasidae.
UGGAACUGCAGUGGUAGAAGAUCCCUGGAAAUUCUGCCUCAGAAAUAACCAAGAGGUGGAACUGCAGUGGUAGAAGAUCCCUGGAAAUUCUGCCUCAGAAAUCACCAAGAGGGCUAGAAGAUCCCUGGAAAUUCAGCCCCAGAAAUAACCAAGAGGUGUAAUUGCAGGGGUACAAGAAGCCUGGAAAUUUGGCCUCAGAAAACAGCAAGAGGAGUACAAGAAGCCUGGAAAUUCGGCCUCAGAAAACAGCAAGGGGUGGAGCUGCAGUGGUAGAAGAUCCCUGGAAAUUCGGCCUCAGAAAUA